UACGAAGGGUGCAAGCGUUGCUCGGAAUUAUUGGGCGUAAAGGGCAGGUAGGUGGUCCUAUUUGUCAGAGGUGAAAGCCCCAGGCUUAACUUGGGAAGUGCCUCUGAAACGGUAGGACUAGAGUAUUGGAGAGGGUCGUGGAAUUCCCGGUGUAGCGGUGAAAUGCGUAGAGAUCGGGAGGAACACCAGAGGCGAAGGCGGCGACCUGGACAAUAACUGACACUCAACUGCGAAAGCGUGGGGAGCAAACAGG
This 253-nucleotide ribosomal RNA is filed under the name uncultured bacterium. RNAcentral describes it as "partial 16S ribosomal RNA". It matches the Rfam family "Bacterial small subunit ribosomal RNA", at positions 524 to 776 of the family's 1533-position model. The record is from RNAcentral.